UAUUCUCCUCUACCUCAUAGAUCAAAACCUAGUGAUGGGGAGACAUCCUCUUCCUACCCCAAUCAUGAGCAUCAAUUUCCACUUGUGUAUGGCCAUUUUCCUCCUGGGGAUAGGUUCUAUGGAUGGUGGGGUCACCCAGACCCCCAAACGCUUAGUCAAAGAGAAGGAACAGGAAGCUACCCUGAAUUGUCAACAAAAUUUGAAUCAUGAUUAUAUGUACUGGUAUCGACAAGAUGACAAGGAAGGACUGCAGCUCAUGUUUUAUUUCAAUAAUAAUGAGCUUUUUGGGAACUUCACUAACAACGAUCAUUUCAAACCUAAUCGUGUGGACAAAACCCUCUUGAAUCUUCAAAUUGGAUCUCUUGAGUCCAAAGACACAGCCAUCUACUUUUGUGCUAGCAGUUAUAGCACAGUGCUCCAAAAUUCCACUAUCUCUGUACACAAACCACCCCCAGACACAACACAGGAAGCAGCUGGAGGUGAGAGUGAGGACAGGACCAUGGUCAGGGGAGAAGGGCCAACAGUCAUUCUGUGA
Non-coding RNA from Antechinus flavipes (yellow-footed antechinus), 535 nucleotides. The record is from the annotation of a RefSeq genome assembly. NCBI's taxonomy places the organism in Eukaryota, Metazoa, Chordata, Mammalia, Dasyuromorphia, Dasyuridae.